This 479-nucleotide ribosomal RNA is filed under the name uncultured bacterium. Its description in RNAcentral is "bacterial SSU rRNA". It matches the Rfam family "Bacterial small subunit ribosomal RNA", at positions 12 to 518 of the family's 1533-position model. The record is from RNAcentral.
UUCGAUUCUGGCUCAGGAUGAACGCUGGCGGCGUGCCUAACACAUGCAAGUCGAGCGAUUCUCUUCGGAGAAGAGCGGCGAACGGGUGAGUAACGCGUGGGUAACCUGCCUCAUACACAUGGAUAACAUACCGAAAGGUAUGCUAAUACAGGAUAACAUAAGAGAUUCACAUGGAUUUCUUAUCAAAGCUCCGGCGGUAUGAGAUGGACCCGCGUCUGAUUAGCUAGUUGGUAAGGUAACGGCUUACCAAGGCGACGAUCAGUAGCCGACCUGAGAGGGUGAUCGGCCACAUUGGAACUGAGACACGGUCCAAACUCCUACGGGAGGCAGCAGUGGGGAAUAUUGCACAAUGGGCGAAAGCCUGAUGCAGCAACGCCGCGUGAGUGAUGAAGGCCUUCGGGUCGUAAAACUCUGUCCUCAAGGAAGAUAAUGACGGUACUUGAGGAGGAAGCCCCGGCUAACUACGUGCCAGCAGCGGC